UUAAAUUGAAGAGUUUGAUCAUGGCUCAGAUUGAACGCUGGCGGCAGGCCUAACACAUGCAAGUCGAACGGUAACAGGAAUCAGCUUGCUGAUUUGCUGACGAGUGGCGGACGGGUG
This 117-nucleotide ribosomal RNA is filed under the name Escherichia coli. RNAcentral's name for it is "partial 16S ribosomal RNA". It matches the Rfam family "Bacterial small subunit ribosomal RNA", at positions 1 to 108 of the family's 1533-position model. Lineage: Bacteria; Pseudomonadati; Pseudomonadota; Gammaproteobacteria; Enterobacterales; Enterobacteriaceae. The record is from RNAcentral.